This is a non-coding RNA of Macaca mulatta (Rhesus monkey), 1359 nucleotides long. The record is from RefSeq and is a predicted model, not a curated record. Lineage: Eukaryota; Metazoa; Chordata; Mammalia; Primates; Cercopithecidae.
UUACAGGUGUGCUAGCUUGUCUCCAAGAUGGCACCCAUGAGCCCUAAAUUCCUGGAUUGAUGCUCUUGCCUAGUCCUCUAUUGUGUCAUAUCAGGAUUGUUCCAAGUAACCAAUAGAACACAGCAGAGGUGAUGGCAUGUCACAAAGUUAGGUCAUAAAGGACAUCAUGGUUUCCAUGUUGCUGGCUUCCUCUUAGAUAAUUUUCUCUGGAGGAAACCCAACUGUGUGUUGUGAGAAGAUUUAAGCCAUCCAGGGAGAGAUCCACAUGAUAGUGGGACUCUGUGCUCAUGCCAGUAAGUAAAGAAGAAGGAAUAAGAAAGACACUGUGUGAUCUAGUAUUAAUAAGGAAGUAAGUGAUCAAGUUACUCCAGCUAGAUCAGUAGAAUCUAUUAUCAAGCACGUUGAGGCCGACAGCAUUCACAAAUUAACUGUCUACGUUUAUACUCACUGAUGACUCGUGUUUCCUUUCGAGGACAACUGGGCUUUUCUCCUCUUCUCUGCUGGAUUCUGCUGUUUCCCACAAGGUGUUCAGAGAGUCUGCCCUGAAUCCUACAAGCAGGAGAUGAGAAACACACAGUGACACCAGCAGGAGAACAUGAAGAUGUGGUGACAGUUGUCCUCCUCCUGCAGAGUCCAGAGCAGUGCACUCCUACCACUGGUGCCCUAGCUAAGCCUGGGGGCCAGCAUGCCCGAUGAUAGUCUGGGAGUGCUGCAGAGUCCCCACAAUGGGCACCCAGCCUGUGCCCUUGCAUUCUGCAUGAUCGUGGCCAUUGUCACCUCAGAGCCCCUGUGUACAGAUCAGUGCAUCCUAGCAGAGCUGCAUGUGAGGAAAGACCACGUGAGUCCCGGGAAAGAGCUGAGGCCCUGCAGGGGAAGGUGGCCAGGACCGAGACCUGAUGCCUGUCUGGAGAAUCGUCUGUGGGUGUGAGUGGCACUGUGGGGUCAGUGCCUGGGUUCUGCUGCUCCCCCUCCUCGAAGAUCAGGGCCCAAGCAGGGGAUGGCAUGUGUGUGGCACCUGGAACUGCAGGGCCACUACACAUGUGUGAGGCCAUCAUGGGGACCUGAACACGGUGUCGUCUGCAGACCCCACCCAUCCAUUGGCCCCAAUUCCUGGCCAGCUUCUGCCAAGCCAAGAUGAAGGAUGAGAAGUGGUUGCUACGAAGGACCCUCCUGCAGUGAACCCACUGUGAGGAGGCUGCGCUGACCCAGCCUGUCAUUUCCUUCUCUAAGCUCAUUCCAGAGGUCGGCCAGGGGCAGAGGCAGCCCGUACCUGCCUGCUCUUGUGGCCCGUGAAUCAAGAAUGGAUUUUACAUUUCCAAAUGCCUGAACAAAUAAAAAAAUAACAAUUCAUGACACUGA